Molecule: long non-coding RNA, 957 nt
Organism: Rosa rugosa (rugosa rose)
Lineage: Eukaryota; Viridiplantae; Streptophyta; Magnoliopsida; Rosales; Rosaceae
Exons: 3
Source: RefSeq, a predicted model, not a curated record
UCUCUCUCUCUCUCUCUCUCUCGCCAACUCGCCUGAGCCUCCCUCGUCGUCCCGCUGCCAACUUGAUGCCAGAAGAUCCCAGCGAAGCUGCCACCCGAUCUUGCCACACCAACUCAAACCAAUCACGGGGCCGUUUGUGACCCAGUCGAGCAUAGGAUGACUCCGAUCUUGCUUGCCUGCUCUGUAGCCAGGCAGCCACCAUUGCCCUUCAUCGUCGGAAUCUUCAAACAAAUUAGAAAGCCUCAUCAUCGCCCCGCAUCCUCUUCUUCGACUAGACUCAUUGUUAGACUGGUAUGUCUUUCAUUGGCCUUGUUUGGUUUUCAUUUAUGCUGGUAGUGAUCUAGUUUUCUUCUUUCCUCUAAUAAGGACAUUUCUUGAUCCUUACUUUUUGCUAUAUAUGCUGUUUAUUGAGCAGAGCAUAGUAGAAAGUUAAAAAAUGAAGAGGACUUGUUAUGAUCAUAUGGUAGCAAUUUAGAUGGGUAUUUCUCUUCUGCUAUAUAGGGAAAAGACUUAUAUAUAGAAUGGUAUAAGCACACACGUCUUCUGAUUAAUCAGGGCCAAACACACUAACAUUUUUUUUCCUACUGCAGGGAAGCAAUUGGGAAAAUUCUUGCACGUGGUCAUAGUAGAGUCCCUGUCUAUUCUGGAAAUCCCAAAACAUAAUCGGCCUCUUACUGGUGAAAAGUCUCCUCACAGUACGAGCAGAAACAGAGACUCCAGUUAGUGCAGUUUCCAUUCGUAGAAUGCCUAGGGUUCCAGCCGAUAUGCCUUUAUAUGAUAUACUUAAUGAGUUUCAAAAAGGAAGCAGUCACCUGGCUGCUGUAGUGAAGAUCAAAGGAAAAACCAAGAAUCCUCUACUUUUUGCUGAUAGAGAGAAACUUGAGGAGGCCAGACCAACCAAUGGAUGUGUUGCCAUUGAUGUUGAUAAACGUCCAAGGUCUCUGACAAACAUGCCAA